This 506-nucleotide ribosomal RNA is filed under the name uncultured bacterium. Its description in RNAcentral is "partial 16S ribosomal RNA". It matches the Rfam family "Bacterial small subunit ribosomal RNA", at positions 29 to 523 of the family's 1533-position model. The record is from RNAcentral.
AUUGAACGCUGGCGGCAGGCCUAACACAUGCAAGUCGAACGGUAGCACAGGAGAGCUUGCUCUUCGGGUGACGAGUGGCGGACGGGUGAGUAAUGCAUGGGGAGCUGCCCAAUCGAGGGGGAUACCAGCUGGAAACGGCUGCUAAUACCGCAUACGCCCCGAGGGGGAAAGGUGGGGACCUUCGGGCCUACCGCGAUUGGAUGCACCCAUGUGGGAUUAGCUAGUUGGUGGGGUAACGGCUCACCAAGGCGACGAUCUCUAGCUGGUCUGAGAGGAUGACCAGCCACACUGGAACUGAGACACGGUCCAGACUCCUACGGGAGGCAGCAGUGGGGAAUAUUGCACAAUGGGGGAAACCCUGAUGCAGCCAUGCCGCGUGUGUGAAGAAGGCCUUCGGGUUGUAAAGCACUUUCAGUGGGGAGGAAGGGGAGUAAGUUAAUACCUUACUUCAUUGACGUUACCCACAGAAGAAGCACCGGCUAACUCCGUGCCAGCCGCCGCGGUAA